GCAAGCAAACCGCCGCACUCCCGAGGAGAGAUACGUGCGUCUCCGAAAGGAAAGCGCUCCAUCGAGGCGGGUUAUCCCGAGCCGGCCUCGGGAACCGUUCCUGUAACCCGGCCCUCAGGGCUUUGAAUCCCUGCGCUCCCCGUGGCCUCAUAACGCUUCCCACCCAGAGCCCGGGUGGGCUCAUAACGCUCGCCACCCGGAGCUGCUGGCCGCAAUGGGAACAAGCAGCUGGGCUUCACGGCUCUGCAUGCUUCCUGGGAGGAUAUAUUGCUCCCAACUUGCCGUAGCGAUCAUGCUGCGCUCCUGGGUUAGGAUGUACAGUUAUGAGUCCCUGUGCUGUUUUACUCUUGGAAUUCAUUUCCUUAUUUAAUGUGCACGGUGGUGAAAGUCCCUUUUUCCCCUUCUUUCCGUGAACCUGGGUGCUGUUCCUGCUCCUGAUCUCUUGCAUGUUGGUGCUGUCCCGCCUGUUGUUUGGUGAUCAUCUCUGGUGCCGUUCCCGGGUGCUGCUCGUGGCCUCGUGCAUCUCCAGUAGCGUGCGGAGCUGCCCAUGUCCAUGGAGAUCCCUGCAAGGCGGGGAAAAGGGUGUUUGCAAGAGAGAAACACCUUUUGAAGUGGGUUUGGAUUGAGGGAGAGCCGGGGAAGGCUGUAGUGCCAGGGCUUGUUCUCCAGAAACCCCAAAGGUUGUCACUUGCUUCUGUUUUGGAUCCGCUGGUGCCAAGGAUUUGCUUCCCGCUGCUCCUUGGGAAUGGCGCCGCUGUUUCUUGUGGCUGAAAGCCUGUUGCGGAAUGAGCAGCAGAUGUCGGACACCUGGGAUGCAUCGGAUACACGACCCGCUUCGGAACACAAGCCCAUUCUUGUCCUUUGGCAAGAGCAGUAACCAAAAAAAGUCGUCUUGCUGUUAAAUGACCUCACCUCCGCGUUGAGACGUUUCUACAGCAGCUACAAAGGCAGGGGGUGAAAUGUAGUAAUGCUAGAAGGAGUGCAAGGCAGACCUGCUCUGCAUCAAAGCAGAAAUGAAGAGAAAGAGGCUUAAUUAAUGUUGAGUUUCUUGGGUACACCCACCAGGAAAUCCAAAAURGACUCUGAAACUCUACCUUUAAUUUGCUCCACUGUGACUGAAACAACGAUGUGACCCYGAGGCCCCAUCCUGCUACUCGCAGCUAAUGUGCAGGACUCCCUCCUGGCAUUCCUACCGCCAGCCGGAGCGCCAGCAAAGCCCAGGUUCUCUGCCCCUGUAUCAAAAGCCCCAAAGCU
Long non-coding RNA from Nothoprocta perdicaria, 1254 nucleotides. RefSeq lists it as uncharacterized. Lineage: Eukaryota; Metazoa; Chordata; Aves; Tinamiformes; Tinamidae. The transcript is spliced from 2 exons. The record is from RefSeq and is a predicted model, not a curated record.